GGUUAUUGUCUAUAAAUAAGAAAGUCACUUCCAAGCCAACCAGAAAUAUGUAUCAAAUUGAUCACAACCAGUAACAGAUUUCUUUGUUCUUUCUCCACUCCCACUGCUUCACUUGACUAGCCUUAA
Molecule: Y RNA, 126 nt
Filed under: Theropithecus gelada (gelada)
Lineage: Eukaryota; Metazoa; Chordata; Mammalia; Primates; Cercopithecidae
Also listed under: 1 other name
Description: Y RNA (ENSTGEG00000027138.1)
Rfam family: Y RNA
About the family: Y RNAs are components of the Ro ribonucleoprotein particle (Ro RNP), in association with Ro60 and La proteins. The Y RNAs and Ro60 and La proteins are well conserved, but the function of the Ro RNP is not known. In humans the RNA component can be one of four small RNAs -- hY1, hY3, hY4 and hY5.
Source: RNAcentral